CGAACGUGGAUAAUCUGCCCUGCACAGGGGACGAACAGCUAGAAAUGGCUGCUAAUACCGCAUAAGCCUACAGCCUCGCAUGAGGGAGUAGGAAAAGAAAUUCGGUGCAGGAUGAGUCCGCGUCUGAUUAGCUAGCUGGAGGGGUAAAAGCCCACCAAGGCAACGAUCAGUAGCCGGCCUGAGAGGGCGACCGGCCACAUUGGGACUGAGACACGGCCCAAACUCCUACGGAAGGCAGCAG
This 241-nucleotide ribosomal RNA is filed under the name uncultured bacterium. RNAcentral's name for it is "partial 16S ribosomal RNA". It matches the Rfam family "Bacterial small subunit ribosomal RNA", at positions 112 to 354 of the family's 1533-position model. The record is from RNAcentral.